UUCCGUAGGUAGGUCAAAAGUUGAAAAAAGGCUUAAUGGAUGCUAGACCUUUGCUGAUAGAAGUGCGACUUGUGCUGCGCUCCGAAACCAGUAGGCCGGCUGCCAAUUACUUUAAGGCGAGUCUCCAGCAAAGCUAGAGACAAGACGCCCAACACCAAGCAAAGCUUGAGGGUACAAAUGACGCUCGAACAGGCAUGCCCUUUGGAAUACCAAAGGGCGCAAUGUGCGUUCAAAGAUUCGAUGAUUCACUGAAUUCUGCAAUUCACACUACUUAUCGCAUUUCGCUGCGUUCUUCAUCGAUGCCAGAACCAAGAGAUCCGUUGUUGAAAGUUGUAAUUAUUAAUUUGUUACUGACGCUGAUUGCAAUUACAAAAGGUUUAUGUUUGUCCUAGUGGUGGGCGAACCCACCAAGGAAACAAGAAGUACGCAAAAGACAAGGGUGAAUAAUUCAGCAAGGCUGUAACCCCGAGAGGUUCCAGCCCGCCUUCAUAUUUGUGUAAUGAUCCCUCCGCAGGUUCACCUACGGA
This 527-nucleotide unclassified non-coding RNA is filed under the name Alternaria sp. YEP822. RNAcentral's name for it is "sequence contains ITS1, 5.8S rRNA gene and ITS2". The record is from RNAcentral. Lineage: Eukaryota; Fungi; Ascomycota; Dothideomycetes; Pleosporales; Pleosporaceae.